This is a ribosomal RNA of 778 nucleotides. The stretch from base 218 to 371 matches the Rfam family "5.8S ribosomal RNA".
GAAUUCUGACGGGAGUUGUAGCUGGCCAUGCAUAUGGUACGGCAUGUGCACGCUCUGGUCAUUAUCCAUCUUACCCACCUGUGCACACUCUGUAGGCUGGCUUGUGGUUGGGGUGACGGUCUUAGUUGACCUCGCUCUGGUUGGUGGCCUUCCUAUGUACCAUCACAAACCACUACAGUUUAAAGAAUGUACCCCUGCGUGUAACGCAUUUAUAUACAACUUUCAGCAACGGAUCUCUUGGCUCUCGCAUCGAUGAAGAACGCAGCGAAAUGCGAUAAGUAAUGUGAAUUGCAGAAUUCAGUGAAUCAUCGAAUCUUUGAACGCACCUUGCGCUCUUUGGUAUUCCGAAGAGCAUGCCUGUUUGAGUGUCAUGGAAUUCUCAACUCUACUCACUUUUGUGGGUAGCAGCUUGGAUUUGGAGGAAUCAUUGCCGGAUGCUGUAUGGUGUUCGGCUCCUCUCGAAUGUAUUAGCUUGACUGUUCUGCAGAUCAGCUAUCGGUGUGAUAAUUUUAUGCGCCGCUGCUGUGAAGCAGGUCAAUGGGCUUGGCUUCCAAUCGUCCUUUCCAUGGACAAUCACUUUGACUUCUGACCUCAAAUCAGGUAGGGUUACCCGCUGAACUUAAGCAUAUCAAUAAGCGGAGGAAAAGAAACUAACAAGGAUUCCCCUAGUAACUGCGAGUGAAGCGGGAAAAGCUCAAUUUUAAAAUCUGGUGGUCUUUGGCCAUCCGAGUUGUAGUCUGGAGAAGUGCUUUCCGCGCUGGACCGUGUACAAAUUUCC